Molecule: ribosomal RNA, 450 nt
Filed under: uncultured bacterium
Lineage: Bacteria
Description: partial 16S ribosomal RNA
Rfam family: Bacterial small subunit ribosomal RNA
Source: RNAcentral
GUGGGGAAUAUUGGACAAUGGGCGCAAGCCUGAUCCAGCCAUACCGCGUGGGUGAAGAAGGCCUUCGGGUUGUAAAGCCCUUUUGUUGGGAAAGAAAUCCUGUCGGUUAAUACCUGGCGGGGAUGACGGUACCCAAAGAAUAAGCACCGGCUAACUUCGUGCCAGCAGCCGCGGUAAUACGAAGGGUGCAAGCGUUACUCGGAAUUACUGGGCGUAAAGCGUGCGUAGGUGGUGGUUUAAGUCCGUUGUGAAAGCCCUGGGCUCAACCUGGGAAGUGCAGUGGAUACUGGAUCACUAAAGUGUGGUAGAGGGAUGCGGAAUUUCUGGUGUAGCAGUGAAAUGCGUAGAGAUCAGAAGGAACAUCCGUGGCGAAGGCGGCAUCCUGGGCCAACACUGACACUGAGGCACGAAAGCGUGGGGAGCAAACAGGAUUAGAAACCCGAGUAGUCC